RNAcentral lists this ribosomal RNA (484 nucleotides) under uncultured bacterium. Its description in RNAcentral is "partial 16S ribosomal RNA". It matches the Rfam family "Bacterial small subunit ribosomal RNA", at positions 28 to 523 of the family's 1533-position model. The record is from RNAcentral.
GAUGAACGCUGGCGGCGUGCCUAAUACAUGCAAGUCGAGCGAACGGACGAGAAGCUUGCUUCUCUGAUGUUAGCGGCGGACGGGUGAGUAACACGUGGGCAACCUGCCUCAUAGAGGGGAAUAGCCUUCCGAAAGGGAGAUUAAUACCGCAUAAGAUUGUAGUACCGCAUGGUACAGCAAUUAAAGGAGCAAUCCGCUAUGAGAUGGGCCCGCGGCGCAUUAGCUAGUUGGUGAGGUAACGGCUCACCAAGGCGACGAUGCGUAGCCGACCUGAGAGGGUGAUCGGCCACAUUGGGACUGAGACACGGCCCAGACUCCUACGGGAGGCAGCAGUGGGGAAUAUUGCACAAUGGGGGAAACCCUGAUGCAGCAACGCCGCGUGAGUGAUGACGGCCUUCGGGUUGUAAAGCUCUGUCUUCAGGGACGAUAAUGACGGUACCUGAGGAGGAAGCCACGGCUAACUACGUGCCAGCAGCCGCAGUAA